AGAGUUUGAUCCUGGGCUCAGGAUGAACGCUGGCGGCGUGCCUAAUACAUGCAAGUCGAGCGAACAGACGAGGAGCUUGCUCCUUUGACGUUAGCGGCGGACGGGUGAGUAACACGUGGGUAACCUACCUAUAAGACUGGGAUAACUUCGGGAAACCGGAGCUAAUACCGGAUAAUAUUUCGAACUGCAUGGUUCGAUAGUGAAAGAUGGCUUUGCUAUCACUUAUAGAUGGACCUGCGCCGUAUUAGCUAGUUGGUAAGGUAACGGCUUACCAAGGCAACGAUACGUAGCCGACCUGAGAGGGUGAUCGGCCACACUGGAACUGAGACACGGUCCAGACUCCUACGGGAGGCAGCAGUAGGGAAUCUUCCGCAAUGGGCGAAAGCCUGACGGAGCAACGCCGCGUGAGUGAUGAAGGUCUUCGGAUCGUAAAACUCUGUUAUUAGGGAAGAACAAACGUGUAAGUAACUGUGCACGUCUUGACGGUACCUAAUCAGAAAGCCACGGCUAACUACGUG
Molecule: ribosomal RNA, 518 nt
Filed under: uncultured bacterium
Lineage: Bacteria
Description: bacterial SSU rRNA
Rfam family: Bacterial small subunit ribosomal RNA
Source: RNAcentral